GCAGACACAUUACAGCCAAUCAGCAGCAGACCCUCCCUCCAAGACCCUCCCACCUCCUGGACAGCAUCCAUUUUACAUUCAUUGUGAAGCUGCAUUCUUAGUGAGCUGUCCAGGAGGUGGUAGGGUCUGGGAGGGAGGGUCUGCUGCUGAUUGGCUGGAAUGUGUCU
This 167-nucleotide microRNA precursor is filed under the name Pelobates cultripes (western spadefoot toad). Lineage: Eukaryota; Metazoa; Chordata; Amphibia; Anura; Pelobatidae. The record is from RNAcentral.